RNAcentral lists this ribosomal RNA (492 nucleotides) under uncultured bacterium. Its description in RNAcentral is "partial 16S ribosomal RNA". It matches the Rfam family "Bacterial small subunit ribosomal RNA", at positions 29 to 507 of the family's 1533-position model. The record is from RNAcentral.
AGUGAACGCUGGCGGUGGGCCUAACACAUGCAAGUCGAACGGCAGCACAGUAAGAGCUUGCUCUUACGGGUGGCGAGUGGCGGACGGGUGAGGAAUACAUCGGAAUCUACUUUUUCGUGGGGGAUAACGUAGGGAAACUUACGCUAAUACCGCAUACGACCUACGGGUGAAAGCAGGGGAUCUUCGGACCUUGCGCGAUUGAAUGAGCCGAUGUCGGAUUAGCUAGUUGGCGGGGUAAAGGCCCACCAAGGCGACGAUCCGUAGCUGGUCUGAGAGGAUGAUCAGCCACACUGGAACUGAGACACGGUCCAGACUCCUACGGGAGGCAGCAGUGGGGAAUAUUGGACAAUGGGCGCAAGCCUGAUCCAGCCAUACCGCAUGGGUGAAGAAGGCCUUCGGGUUGUAAAGCCCUUUUGUUGGGAAAGAAAAGCAGCAGGUUAAUACCCCGCUGUUCUGACGGUACCCAAAGAAUAAGCACCGGCUAACUUCGUG